UACAGAGGGUGCAAACGUUGUUCGGAAUUACUGGGCGUAAAGCGCGUGUAGGCGGCUUUGCAAGUCGGGCGUGAAAUCCCAUGGCUCAACCAUGGAAGUGCACUCGAAACUGCAGAGCUAGAGUCCUGGAGAGGAAGGUGGAAUGCUUGGUGUAGAGGUGAAAUUCGUAGAUAUCAAGCGGAACACCAGUGGCGAAGGCGGCUCACUGGCCCGGUACUGACGCUGAGGUGCGAAAGCGUGGGGAGCAAACAGG
This 253-nucleotide ribosomal RNA is filed under the name uncultured bacterium. RNAcentral describes it as "partial 16S ribosomal RNA". It matches the Rfam family "Bacterial small subunit ribosomal RNA", at positions 524 to 776 of the family's 1533-position model. The record is from RNAcentral.